Molecule: long non-coding RNA, 1803 nt
Organism: Gallus gallus (chicken)
Lineage: Eukaryota; Metazoa; Chordata; Aves; Galliformes; Phasianidae
Source: Ensembl
GAACUGCACACAGAUGGCUGCUGGGAUCACCUGACGGCGAGUCCUCACUCAGCUGCCGGGUGGCUGUGUGCCUGGAGCAGCCAGAGCUUUUGAAGUAGCUCAGCUGACCUGGGCCUGCAGUGCCCCCCAGAAGCGCUGGUCCUCCCUCCUCUUUGUUGCAGAAAUGACUUCUGAAGCUCGCAGACCAGCUGAAAGCUAAUCUGUCUUUUCUUUCUUUGGUAGGGUUAGCUUUCAGGCAGAUCAAUCGCCUGAUCCAGCUGACUGCAUGGCUGCUCAAGCCCCAGUGUCAGUGCGAGAGGCAGCUGUAUCACACCACAGAUUUGGGGAGGGCUGCUCGGCCUCUUGGCAUGUGCAGGCACAGGAGGAGAUCUGUGAGCUGCUUGUAGAAAUGAGGACCUGGUGCACUGCUCUGCCUUCCUUGCCUCUGUGCUGCCUGGGGAAAGAGCCACCCACCUCAGUGGUUUCCCGCAUCAAAUACUAAUGAGUACUGGGGUGUUUUUUUCUUUUUAUUAUUAUUAUUUUUUCCCCUCUACCCUUGUUGAUAGGUUUGUUGUUGUCUUGAUAGUGUUCUGAUACAGAUUUUCUUGCCCUAGCCUGGAAAUGUAAUUUCUUGCAAAACUAAAUAGAUUAGUCCGUAGAUCUGUCUCCUAGACAAAGAUACUAUUCCCAUUGAAUCUGAAUGAGCACUAAGAUCCCCUUGAUUCCAGAUUCAGUUUUUAAUGCCGUCAGUGCUAUUCUGUGAGUAAACUGCAAGCAAACUGCUGAAAUGAGUAGACUAUGUCUUCCAGAGGUGUCUCUGACCUCUGUGGGCUUUUCUGUGGCUCAUCAAGGACUCUUGCAUCUGAAAGCAGAGAGCUGAAGCCCCAAGGCCUUGACUUGAUCAUCAACUGAAAGCUGUUGUUUUGGAAACUGAGCUUCUUGGUGGAAACUGCACCAGUCUUCAUUUUGACAUAUAACUAUUACACUUACUUAAGUUUCCAUAACUGAGGAAAUACAGCAAACUAAAACAGGGAAUGUGGUGAGAGCAUUAUUGUCAGGUGAACUGGCAUGCUUUGGGAUCAUCUCUUGAACAGAAAGUGUCUGGAGGGCCUAGUAGGUACAAAGAGGAGGAAUCAUGUUCAGCUUCUGCGGGUUUUAGUUAGAGAUCUUCAUCCCAACCCACCUAUGAAUUUAUCUGGAUGUGAUGGAGAAAAGGGAAGAUCUUCUGUGGAAGCAGCUGUGGUUUGGACCAGCUACUGCUCCAAUCUGUUCAUUAUGAUAGAGAUGGUUGGGGCUGGUGGGGCGAUCGCUGCCGCUCCAACAUGGCCUGCACCUCGAGGGACUCCACACCAAGCACUGCAGGCCUCCGGGCUGAGACACAGGUGCAUCGAACUUGCCUGGUGCCUCAGCCAUUCCUCCUGUUCAAAUGCAUUUGAAUUUUGUGCAGAAGUUGCUGAGAAGUCUUGCUGCAGUACUCCCUGAAGGAGCUGCAGUGAUGAAGAAGGACCAGAGAUACCCCAUAUCCUCCUGCAUACCUCAGCCUUGCUCCUGAGCCAUGGUGAACUGCAUGCAGUACUAAUGGAGUGUCUUUCCACAGAGUGCCUUAGGACUUGAGUCAGGCUAUAUCCACAAUGGUGUUGUCCAGCAAUGUAAAAUAACUUCAGUGAUAUAUUUAAUUACUGUUGUCUGGUUACUAUGCUUCAAAAGUCUGGAAUAUAACUUAAGAGUUGUUCCAUUAGCCAUCAGUGUAGUCUUACCGGUAUUGUGCUUCCACACCAUUUUGUGAAACAGUAAAGUUCAGUGGCCAUAAAAUGGCGUCAGCAA